GACGAACGCUGGCGGCGUGCUUAACACAUGCAAGUCGAACGGAAAGGCCCUUCGGGGUUCUCGAGUGGCGAACGGGUGAGUAACACGUGGGUGAUCUGCACUGCACUUUGGGAUAAGCCUGGGAUACUGGGUCUAAUACCGAAUAGGACCACGCGCUUCAUGGUGUGUGGUGGAAAGCUUUUGCGGUGUGGGAUGGGCCCGCGGCCUAUCAGCUUGUUGGUGGGGUAAUGGCCUACCAAGGCGACGACGGGUAGCCGGCCUGAGAGGGUGACCGGCCACACUGGGACUGAGAUACGGCCCAGACUCCUACGGGAGGCAGCAGUGGGGAAUAUUGCACAAUGGGCGCAAGCCUGAUGCAGCGACGCCGCGUGCGGGAUGACGGCCUUCGGGUUGUAAACCUCUUUCAAUAGGGACGAAGCGCGAGUGACGGUACCUAUAGAAGAAGCACCGGCCAACUACGUG
This 462-nucleotide ribosomal RNA is filed under the name uncultured bacterium. Its description in RNAcentral is "partial 16S ribosomal RNA". It matches the Rfam family "Bacterial small subunit ribosomal RNA", at positions 28 to 507 of the family's 1533-position model. The record is from RNAcentral.